UACGAAGGGGGCUAGCGUUGUUCGGAAUUACUGGGCGGAAAGCGGGCGCAGGCGGCUUCUCAAGUCAGGGGUGAAAGCCCAGAGCUCAACUCUGGAAUUGCCUUUGAGACUGAGUGGCUUGAGUACGAGAGAGGUGAGUGGAAUUCCCAGUGUAGAGGUGAAAUUCGUAGAUAUUGGGAAGAACACCGGUGGCGAAGGCGGCUCUCUGGAACGCAACUGACGCUGAGACGCGAAAGCGUGGGGAGCAAACAGG
This 253-nucleotide ribosomal RNA is filed under the name uncultured bacterium. RNAcentral describes it as "partial 16S ribosomal RNA". It matches the Rfam family "Bacterial small subunit ribosomal RNA", at positions 524 to 776 of the family's 1533-position model. The record is from RNAcentral.